UUUGAUCCUGGCUCAGGAUGAACGCUGGCGGCGUGCCUAAUACAUGCAAGUCGAGCGAACGGAUAAGGAGCUUGCUCCUUUGAAGUUAGCGGCGGACGGGUGAGUAACACGUGGGUAACCUACCUAUAAGACUGGAAUAACUUCGGGAAACCGGAGCUAAUGCCGGAUAACAUAUAGAACCGCAUGGUUCUAUAGUGAAAGAUGGUUUUGCUAUCACUUAUAGAUGGACCCGCGCCGUAUUAGCUAGUUGGUAAGGUAAUGGCUUACCAAGGCGACGAUACGUAGCCGACCUGAGAGGGUGAUCGGCCACACUGGAACUGAGACACGGUCCAGACUCCUACGGGAGGCAGCAGUAGGGAAUCUUCCGCAAUGGGCGAAAGCCUGACGGAGCAACGCCGCGUGAGUGAUGAAGGUUUUCGGAUCGUAAAACUCUGUUAUUAGGGAAGAACAAAUGCGUAAGUAACUGUGCGCAUCUUGACGGUACCUAAUCAGAAAGCCACGGCUAACUACGUG
RNAcentral lists this ribosomal RNA (513 nucleotides) under uncultured Staphylococcus sp. RNAcentral describes it as "bacterial SSU rRNA". It matches the Rfam family "Bacterial small subunit ribosomal RNA", at positions 12 to 507 of the family's 1533-position model. Lineage: Bacteria; Bacillati; Bacillota; Bacilli; Caryophanales; Staphylococcaceae. The record is from RNAcentral.